This is a non-coding RNA of Thozetella sp. PMI_491, 86 nucleotides long. Lineage: Eukaryota; Fungi; Ascomycota; Sordariomycetes; Chaetosphaeriales; Chaetosphaeriaceae. The record is from the annotation of a GenBank genome assembly.
GGUCUAUUAGUCUAGUGGUUAGGACAUCCGGUUUUGAUCCACCGGUUGAUCUCCGGAAAACAUCAGUUCGAAUCUGGUAUAGACCU